Long non-coding RNA from Neofelis nebulosa (Clouded leopard), 1437 nucleotides. RefSeq lists it as uncharacterized. The transcript is spliced from 2 exons. The record is from RefSeq and is a predicted model, not a curated record. NCBI's taxonomy places the organism in Eukaryota, Metazoa, Chordata, Mammalia, Carnivora, Felidae.
CUCUCUGUCUGGAUCACACUGCUCCUAGAGCGUCACAUGACUGGCUCCUUCCCGCCACCAGGUCUGAGAUGCAAUGCUACCUAUACCUGGGGGUGUGUUAGAGUUGCAGGUGCCUGGGCUCCACCCCCAGAGAUUCUGAAAUGGCAGGUGUAGGGGUGUGUCUCAGGGGUCUGUUGCUAACAAGAUACCCACUGUUGAUGCCAGUGCCGGUGUUCCAUGGAACAUUCUGAGAAAGGCUGCUGUGAGAGGGAAGCAUGCCCCAGGGGUACCAGGGAGGAUGUGCAGGGCCUGAGUCUGUUGGGAUUCAAGGAAGUCUUGCAGAAGGCGUAGCAGCUGAGCCGAGGCUUGAGGGAUGUAGAGGAGGUGGUCAGGCCGACAAGACUAUGUUUUAGGGUCAUCCCACAACUCUGUGUGCUUCUUGGGUGUGAGCUUCCAAGUAACUUUUCCUGAACCCCUCACCCCAUCCAUCCCAGGCCCUGCUGGAACAGCCUCCCGUUGGGAACUAGAACUGAUGACAUUAUAUACGACCACCAUCCGAGCUUCUUGAGACAACCAAUCCCACAGGAAGUCUUAGAAAGCUUUUUUUCCCUCUAAAUGAUCUUUUUUAGUGUCUGUCACCCAGAGUUGUAGAGAUUUUAUAUCAUCUAUGAAAUCCUAUUAAGAUUUUAUUUCCUUAUUUUCCUUUUAUGAUGACUGGGAUUUCCUUCCUGAGAGAAGGCUUCAGGAAGUGGCCGUGCCUUGGCAGGAGCCAGGCCCUGGGGAGGGUGUGUUGCUGAGGCAGCCGCAGCCUCCGUGGCAGAGUUGCUGACAGGCAUUCAGAGCUGGCAGCAUCCUUCAAGGUCCUGUGGCCCAUUUUCCCCCUGAAGGUAUCCUCUCUAGAGCUUUGAGCAUCCCAUGACCCAAGAGAGGCAGUGAUGGAGCUUUGGAGUCAGGUGACAGUCUCCUUUUAGAUACAUUCAAUCAGUCGUGGAUCCACCUUGGAGCACUAGCACCAACUCACAGAAGGGCAUCUCGAAACCACCUGUUGCAUGGCUGCCUGCUUCAUUCCAGACACAAGAGGCAGAACCCAAAUUUAUCCAGGUUACCAGGUUGGAGUUAAACCUGAGACCACGUUAAUAAACCUCCAUCUGUUUUACUCGCUCUGGCCCUGCCUAGAUGGGCCUCUAAACAGUCCUCCCAGUCUUGUUGGGGAGUCCCUUGUGUGCUUAGGAGUGUCUCUUUCCCCACAUAAUGGAGUUGGCCAAGUUCUUUCUCUCCAGCUCCUCCUUUCCUGCUGACACUCGCAGUCCAUGCACCAUGGAGAAGGACCUCACUACUCUGCCUGCUGCUGGGAUGGCCCACAAGAAUGCAAUUCCCAUGUUCAAUGUGCAUUAGCCCAGACAUUGGUACCAGUCCUUGGUAUCCCGUUGAUUAAACUGCAUUUAAUCUGGUGCAGAA